RNAcentral lists this ribosomal RNA (467 nucleotides) under uncultured bacterium. RNAcentral's name for it is "partial 16S ribosomal RNA". It matches the Rfam family "Bacterial small subunit ribosomal RNA", at positions 28 to 506 of the family's 1533-position model. The record is from RNAcentral.
GACGAACGCUGGCGGCGUGCUUAACACAUGCAAGUCGAACGGAAAGGCCCUGCUUUUGUGGGGUGCUCGAGUGGCGAACGGGUGAGUAACACGUGAGUAACCUGCCCUUGACUUUGGGAUAACUUCAGGAAACUGGGGCUAAUACCGGAUAGGAGCUCCUGCUGCAUGGUGGGGGUUGGAAAGUUUCGGCGGUUGGGGAUGGACUCGCGGCUUAUCAGCUUGUUGGUGGGGUAGUGGCUUACCAAGGCUUUGACGGGUAGCCGGCCUGAGAGGGUGACCGGCCACAUUGGGACUGGGAUACGGCCCAGACUCCUAGGGGAGGCAGGAGGGGGGAAUAUUGAAAAAGGGGCGGAAGCCUGAUGCAGCAACGCCGGGGGGGGGAUGACGGCCUUCGGGUUGUAACCCGCUUUCGCCUGUGACGAAGCGUGGGUGACGGUAAUGGGUAAAGAAGCACCGGCUAACUACGU